Small nuclear RNA from Ochotona princeps (American pika), 168 nucleotides. Its record names the gene U1. It matches the Rfam family "U1 spliceosomal RNA". From Rfam's summary of the family: U1 is a small nuclear RNA (snRNA) component of the spliceosome (involved in pre-mRNA splicing). Its 5' end forms complementary base pairs with the 5' splice junction, thus defining the 5' donor site of an intron. The record is from Ensembl. Lineage: Eukaryota; Metazoa; Chordata; Mammalia; Lagomorpha; Ochotonidae.
AUACUCACCUGGCAGGGAAGACAGGAUGGUCAGGAAGGAAGGUGGUUUUCCCAGGACGAGGCUUAUCCAUUACACUCCGGGUGUGUUAACCCUUAGGAUUUCCUCAAAUGUGGCAAACUACCCUGCAGAAUUCGUAGUAGUAGGGGACUGAGUUCAUGCUCUCCUUUG